This is a long non-coding RNA of Cervus elaphus (red deer), 844 nucleotides long. RefSeq lists it as uncharacterized. The transcript is spliced from 3 exons. The record is from RefSeq and is a predicted model, not a curated record. Lineage: Eukaryota; Metazoa; Chordata; Mammalia; Artiodactyla; Cervidae.
AUGUUGAGUUUUAAGCCAGCUUUUUCAAGGGCAUCAGGAGGUGUAUUUCCACUGUAUGUCCAGGAGGCGGCGAGUUGGAAAUACUUGGGGGACCCAGCACUCCUGUUGUCCACGUCAGCCCCAGCCCUCCAGCCCCAGUGCUCCCAGGCAUCCCUCAUUGUUUGCAGGUGCCGUGCCAGGGGCUACAUCGCCAGCUGAUGAGGUGUGGUGGCCUGGAUCCCUCGCUGCAGGGAGCGUCAUUGUCUUAAGAUCUGAGUUGCAGCGUCUGGAAAUACGCCACCGGGUUUGCGUGGAGGCCACGCCCCUACCGCCUGCUCCAGCCAAUGAGUGAGCUGACAGGGGCGGAAGCCGCUUCACCAGAAGUGGACGGAAGGUCAGUGUCCACCCAGGGAUAUCCAGGUUCGGAGAGGCAUAGGACACUGAAGCCGUAGGGAACAGAAGAGCUCUGGGGACACUGGGAAGGGCCCCAGAUGAUCCUGUGGCUUGGCCUGCCCUGACAGUUCUGCUUUCAGAAUGACGUUUCUUGGGAAACAGGUGAAGGUCCUCAAUGGGCACAAACUUCCGGUGGAAGAUGAAAGUGUUCUGGGGAUCUAAUGCAUGGGUUUCCCUGGUAGCUCAGGGGUAAAGAACUCUGCCUGUCAAUGCAGGGGACAUGGGUUUGAUCCAACGUGCUGCGGAGCACUAAGACCAGGAGCCACAACUAUUGAGCCUGUGCUCUGGAGCCGGGGAGCUACAACUACCGAGCCCUCAUGCCCUGAGUUUGUGCUCUGCAACAAGAGAAGCCACCACAGUGAAAAGCUUGAGCACCACAACUCAAGAAAAAGCCCGAGGAGCGGCAAAGACC